RNAcentral lists this ribosomal RNA (253 nucleotides) under uncultured bacterium. RNAcentral describes it as "partial 16S ribosomal RNA". It matches the Rfam family "Bacterial small subunit ribosomal RNA", at positions 524 to 776 of the family's 1533-position model. The record is from RNAcentral.
UACGAAGGGUGCAAGCGUUACUCGGAAUUACUGGGCGUAAAGCGUGCGUAGGCGGUUUGUUAAGUCUGUCGUGAAAGCCCCGGGCUCAACCUGGGAGUGGCAUUUGGGACUGCAAGGCUUGAGUGCGGCAGAGGAGACUGGAAUUCCUGGUGUAGCAGUGAAAUGCGUAGAUAUCAGGAGGAAUACCGAUGGCGAAGGCAGGUCUCUGGGCUGACACUGACGCUCAUGCACGAAAGCGUGGGGAGCAAACAGG